This 462-nucleotide ribosomal RNA is filed under the name uncultured bacterium. RNAcentral's name for it is "partial 16S ribosomal RNA". It matches the Rfam family "Bacterial small subunit ribosomal RNA", at positions 28 to 505 of the family's 1533-position model. The record is from RNAcentral.
GACGAACGCUGGCGGCGUGCUUAACACAUGCAAGUCGAACGGUAAGGCCCCAGCUUGCUGGGGUACACGAGUGGCGAACGGGUGAGUAACACGUGGGUGACCUGCCCCGCACUUCGGGAUAAGCCUGGGAAACUGGGUCUAAUACCGGAUAGGACCGCACCGUGAGGGUGUGGUGGAAAGUUUUUCGGUGUGGGAUGGGCCCGCGGCCUAUCAGCUUGUUGGUGGGGUAAUGGCCUACCAAGGCGGCGACGGGUAGCCGGCCUGAGAGGGUGGACGGCCACAUUGGGACUGAGACACGGCCCAGACUCCUACGGGAGGCAGCAGUGGGGAAUAUUGCACAAUGGGCGGAAGCCUGAUGCAGCGACGCCGCGUGGGGGAUGACGGCCUUCGGGUUGUAAACUCCUUUCACCAUCGACGAAGGUUUUCUGACGGUAGAUGGAGAAGAAGCACCGGCUAACUACG